Molecule: transfer RNA, 91 nt
Filed under: Bacteroidetes bacterium GWE2_42_24
Lineage: Bacteria; Pseudomonadati; Bacteroidota
Also listed under: 3 other names
Description: tRNA-Ser
Rfam family: tRNA
About the family: Transfer RNA (tRNA) molecules are approximately 80 nucleotides in length.
Source: RNAcentral
GGAGAGGUGGCCGAGUGGUCGAAGGCGCACGCCUGGAAAGUGUGUGUACGCCGAAAGCGUACCAAGGGUUCGAAUCCCUUUCUCUCCGCAA